RNAcentral lists this ribosomal RNA (400 nucleotides) under uncultured bacterium. Its description in RNAcentral is "bacterial SSU rRNA". It matches the Rfam family "Bacterial small subunit ribosomal RNA", at positions 355 to 747 of the family's 1533-position model. The record is from RNAcentral.
UGAGGAAUUUUCCGCAAUGGGCGCAAGCCUGACGGAGCGACGCCGCGUGAGGGAUGAAGGCUUUCGGGUUGUAAACCUCUUUUGCAAGGGAAAAAGGUGCUGGUGCUCAUACCAUCAGUACUUGAUGGUACUUUGCGAAUAAGCCCCGGCUAACUACGUGCCAGCAGCCGCGGUAAUACGUAGGGGGCGAGCGUUGUCCGGAGUUACUGGGCGUAAAGGGCGUGUAGGCGGUUGGAUAAGUCUGGUGUGAAAUUCCUCGGCUCAACCGAGGAGCUGCGCUGGAAACUGUCUGACUGGAGUUCGGCAGGGGUGACUGGAAUUCCUGGUGUAACGGUGAAAUGUGUAGAUAUCAGGAGGAACACCUGUGGCGAAGGCGGGUCACUGGGCCGCAACUGACGCU